This 542-nucleotide ribosomal RNA is filed under the name uncultured bacterium. RNAcentral describes it as "bacterial SSU rRNA". It matches the Rfam family "Bacterial small subunit ribosomal RNA", at positions 355 to 896 of the family's 1533-position model. The record is from RNAcentral.
UGAGGAAUAUUGGUCAAUGGGCGAGAGCCUGAACCAGCCAAGUAGCGUGCGGGAUGAAGGCCCUUGUGGUCGUAAACCGCUUUUAUCAGUGAAUAAAGUGCACCACGUGUGGUGUCAUUGCAGGUAGCUGAAGAAAAAGGACCGGCUAAUUCCGUGCCAGCAGCCGCGGUAAUACGGAAGGUCCGGGCGUUAUCCGGAAUUAUUGGGUUUAAAGGGAGCGCAGGCGGGAGUGUAAGUCAGCUGUUAAAUAUCAGGGCCCAACUCUGUUAUGCAGUUGAAACUAUAUUUCUUGAGUACGCACAGGGAUGGCGGAAUUCAGGGUGUAGCGGUGAAAUGCUUAGAUAUCCUGAAGAACUCCGAUCGCGAAGGCAGCCAUCCGGAGCGUAACUGACGCUGAGGCUCGAAGGUGCGGGUAUCGAACAGGAUUAGAUACCCUGGUAGUCCGCACGGUAAACGAUGAAUACUCGCAGUUCGGUCAUUAUGAUUGAGUUGUCCAGCGAAAGCGUUAAGUAUUCCACCUGGGGAGUACGCCGGCAACGGUG